GACGAACGCUGGCGGCGUGCUUAACACAUGCAAGUCGAACGCAGUGGCGAACGGGUGAGUAACGCGUAAUCAACCUGCCCUUCAGAGGGGGACAACAGUUGGAAACGACUGCUACUACCUCAUACUGAAGGAGGGGAUUGCGUUUGAUUAGCUAGUUGGAGGGGUAACGUCCCACCAAGGCGAUGAUCAGUAGGCGAGCUGAGAGGAUGAACGGCCACAUUGGGACUGAGACACGGCCCAGACUCCUACGGGAGGCAGCAGUUGGGAAUCUUCCGCAAUGGAGGAAAGUCUGACGGAGCAACGCCGCGUGAGUGAUGACGGCCUUCGGGUUGUAAAGCUCUGUUAAUCGGGACGCGGUACCGAAAUAGAAAGCCACGGCUAACUACGUGCCAGCAGCCGCGGUAAUAC
This 408-nucleotide ribosomal RNA is filed under the name uncultured bacterium. RNAcentral's name for it is "partial 16S ribosomal RNA". It matches the Rfam family "Bacterial small subunit ribosomal RNA", at positions 28 to 526 of the family's 1533-position model. The record is from RNAcentral.